This 469-nucleotide long non-coding RNA is filed under the name Salmo salar (Atlantic salmon). RNAcentral's name for it is "lncRNA (ENSSSAG00000084554.1)". Lineage: Eukaryota; Metazoa; Chordata; Actinopteri; Salmoniformes; Salmonidae. The record is from RNAcentral.
UUUUACGACUUCGGGUUUGUUCUUAAAUUCAAUCUGGAGUGCAGGAGUGCUCAUAAAUUCAGAGCGUUGUCGUUGUCAGAUUAUCCGUUUGUAAAUUCAGAGUGCACACUGGAUGCUCGGCCGGAUGAAUAGGGUCGAUUUGAGCGUACUGACCAUACAACAGCAGUCAAGAGCCCAAGCUAACGUUGACUAGCUACUUCCAGAAACGAGACCACUCUGACCAUUUUACUCACCCUAGCAGAGCUGGUCAGGCAGUUUUCAUGUUAUCUGGAGCGUUGGCCCUCCAUUCCCAAACCUGAAGCCCCCUGUCCCCAGCAGGAAAGACCAGGAAAAAAUGUUGGCUUAAGAUCUGCCAACCAGGCUCGGUGUGUGACAGGUAACAAUGUUUCAACCAAGCUGUUCCAGGCCUGGAGUGGCACGCUGGAACUUCCAGAGGCUUGUAGACCUGAAGCAGUGUGAUGUGGUCCAG